This 427-nucleotide long non-coding RNA is filed under the name Manihot esculenta (cassava). RNAcentral's name for it is "long non-coding RNA (MESC_LNC012974)". The record is from RNAcentral. Lineage: Eukaryota; Viridiplantae; Streptophyta; Magnoliopsida; Malpighiales; Euphorbiaceae.
AUUUAUUCUGUUCCAUAAAUUAUAUUUUUGUUUUAGAUAGUAAUUUAUUUAUUAAGUGAGAAAAGUAAAAAAUUAUUUGUUCCAAUAAUUGUUUAGGAAUAAAGUAAUAUAUUAAAGAAAAUAAUAUAAAAUUUAUUAUUUUAAUUAUAUAAGUUAUGUUUUAUCAUUACGAGAGGGAAUAUUUAGGCAGCCAAGUCCAAUUUGAACCAAAUCAAGGGUUAAAAUGAUGAUGAAAGAAACCACAGAUCAAUCAUCCGGCAUAUCUUUAUUUUUUUUUCUACCAUGUAAUGACGCAAGUACAUGCAUGCUUUCUAUUAAUAAAUAACAAUAUUUAUGUUAUAUUUGAUUCCUAAAAGUGAAUAAAUAAGAAAAUUAAAAUUCUAUUGUAGUUUUUAAUAGUUGAUAAUAUUUUGAGAUUCAGCAAAAG